GGCUAACGCUGGCGGCGUGUCUUAGCCAUGCAAGUCAGGGCGAAACUCCCUUCGGGGAGGAGUAGACCGGCAAACGGCGGAGUAACACGUGGCUAACCUACCUUCAGGAAGGGGAUAACCUCGGGAAACUGAGGCUAAUACCCUAUAAUGUCCUGGUGAGGCAUCUCACCGGGAGGAAAGAGGGCCUCUAUUUAUAUGCUCUCGCCUGAUGAGGGAGCCGCGCCCUAUCAGCUUGUUGGUGGGAUAAAGGCCCACCAAGGCAACGACGGGUAGCCGGCGUGAGAGCGUGGCCGGCCCGAGGGGCACUGUGACACGGGCCCCACUCCUACGGGAGGCAGCAGGCUAGAAAUUUGGGCAAUGGGGGAAACCCUGACCCAGCGACGCCGCGUGCGGGAUUGAAGCCCUUCGGGGUGUAAACCGCUGUCAGGGAGGACGAUGGGUCGAGUGGUUAAUAACCGCUUGACUUGACGGUACUUCCAGAGGAAGCCCAGGCUAACCUCGUGCCAGCAGCCGCGGUAAUACGGGGUGGGCAAGCGUUGCCCGGAUUCACUGGGCUUAAAGGGGAUGUAGGCGGUUCGGUGUGUCAGGCGUGUAAUCCACGGGCUCAACCCGUGGACUGCGUCUGAAACUACCGAGCUAGAGGAUGGGAGAGGAGAGAGGAACUCCCGGUGUAGCGGUGAAAUGCGUAGAUAUCGGGGGGAAUGCCAGUGGCGAAGGCGGCUCUCUGGCCUAUUCCUGACGCUGAGGUCCGAAAGCCAGGGUAGCGAAGGGGAUUAGAUACCCCCGUAGUCCUGGCCGUAAACGAUGGGUGCUAGGUGUGGGUUUCGAUUUUAUCGAAAUCUGUGCCGCAGGGAAACCGUUAAGCACCCCGCCUGGGGAGUACGCUCGCAAGGGUGAAACUCAAAGGAAUUGACGG
Molecule: ribosomal RNA, 916 nt
Filed under: uncultured bacterium
Lineage: Bacteria
Description: bacterial SSU rRNA
Rfam family: Bacterial small subunit ribosomal RNA
Source: RNAcentral